GGAGAGGUGCCGGAGUGGUCGAACGGGGCGGUCUCGAAAACCGUUGUGCGGGCAACCGUACCGUGGGUUCGAAUCCCACCCUCUCCGCCA
RNAcentral lists this transfer RNA (90 nucleotides) under Parvularcula dongshanensis. RNAcentral describes it as "tRNA-Ser". It matches the Rfam family "tRNA". From Rfam's summary of the family: Transfer RNA (tRNA) molecules are approximately 80 nucleotides in length. Their secondary structure includes four short double-helical elements and three loops (D, anti-codon, and T loops). RNAcentral also lists the same sequence under 3 other names. The record is from RNAcentral. Lineage: Bacteria; Pseudomonadati; Pseudomonadota; Alphaproteobacteria; Parvularculales; Parvularculaceae.